Molecule: long non-coding RNA, 694 nt
Filed under: Mytilus galloprovincialis (Mediterranean mussel)
Lineage: Eukaryota; Metazoa; Mollusca; Bivalvia; Mytilida; Mytilidae
Source: RNAcentral
CCUCUGAUUCUUGUUUCUCAUUUUAUGCAUGAAGGUGAGAGGAUUAUGAUCAGUAUAAACAAGAAUAGGAUAUACAGUGGGAUUCAAAUAUACAUCAAAAUGUUGAAGUGCUGACAACAUUGCAAAACACUCUUUUUCAAUAGUUGAAUAAUUUUUCUGAUGUUUAUUUAAUUUCUUAGAAAAAUAUGAUAUAGGUUUUUCAACAUUAUCAUCUGUCUCUUGAUAUAAAACAGCUCCUAUUCCUACAUCGCUUGCAUCAACGGCAAGUUUAAAUUGUUUUUCAAAGUCUGGAGUAAUCAGAACUGGACUAUUAAUUAAAAGUGAUUUGCUAUUUUCAAAAGCUUUUUGACAAUUUCCGCUCCAGAUAAAUUUAGAAUAUUUCCGUAAAAGAUGAGUCAAUGGUUGAACAACAGUAGCAAAAUUUGAACAAAAUUUUCUGUAAAAUCCAAUCAUGCCUAAAUAUCUCAUAAGUUGUUUUCUAUUUGUAGGAGGUGGAAAUUUGGAAAUAGCUUCCACUUUAGCCAUAAUAGGUUUUACUUGACCUUGGCCAACUGUAUGCCCUAAAUAAUCAACAGUGGCCUGACAAAAUUCACUUUUACCAAGAUUAACAGUCAAAUUUGAUUUUGACAAUCUAUCAAAGGUAUCAUAUAAAUGUGUUAAAUGCUGUUCCCAGCUAUCACUACAUACAAUAAGA